CUGUGAUCAUGAAGAAGAGAGACUAUGAAAGGAAGCAGGAACGGGUUUCUCCUCCUCUUCACUGCAUGGACCUUCAGCAUGUGGAGCUUUAUCUUUCUCUCUCUCUCUCUCCUGUGGUCCAGAUGUACAGCUUCAUGCUCGCAUGGCUUGGAUAACUGGAGUAACACAUGAUCCCGCCUCCUGCGAUGUGAUUGGUUCCCAAACAUGAAGCAGUCCUCUGAUUGGACGGUGGACUCCCCUGAACUUUUCAGGCCUCUAAUGGACUUCGUUUGAGUUCAGGAUGUGAAGUCGCAGGAAUGUCGGCUGUUCCUCUUCAGCUGUGCAGAAGGAGGGUUUAAGAUCAGCCUGGGUUGUAUGAUUUGUGCUUCCUGCUUGGCUGAAGCCUUUAGUCCAAGAUGGAAAUCGGCACGAUUCAGAUGUCCAGGAUCUUGCAUAAUCCUUGGGGGAUCCUUACAGUGCUUUAAAAACUCUUGACAUUCAACGCUGCACACAUGUUUAAAAGUGUAUUAUUUAUUUUAUUUUUUUUUAUUUCGUCUUUUUCAAACUGCAUGUUGACGAUGUCUCGCAUGUAAACAAAAAUAAACGGAUUUAA
Hemibagrus wyckioides is the source of this 592-nucleotide long non-coding RNA. RefSeq lists it as uncharacterized. The record is from RefSeq and is a predicted model, not a curated record. Lineage: Eukaryota; Metazoa; Chordata; Actinopteri; Siluriformes; Bagridae. The transcript has 5 exons.